ACAUGAAAAACAAUUUUAAAAUAUCUAAGUUUUGUUUUUUAAAAAUGUAUUUGAAUUUUGAGAACAAUUUUAAAAAUAGUUUUAAAGUCUUUGGCCUCGUUUUUGUUAUUUCCACCCUGCAGUGGACGGAUGCUUCGCUGACAGGUGGGGGUCACCGGGAGACAGACGGGGUCACGGGAGGUCAGACGGAUCAUCGAACCUGCAGGACAAUUUUCUCACGUCUGCUUCAAGAGCCGCGGGAAAUAUUUUCACUUCCCACAAAUAAAAAUAACUAAAUUUAAAUUAAACAUGUUUUU
Molecule: long non-coding RNA, 296 nt
Organism: Xiphophorus hellerii (green swordtail)
Lineage: Eukaryota; Metazoa; Chordata; Actinopteri; Cyprinodontiformes; Poeciliidae
Exons: 2
Source: RefSeq, a predicted model, not a curated record